This is a long non-coding RNA of Lutra lutra (Eurasian river otter), 2697 nucleotides long. RefSeq lists it as uncharacterized. The record is from RefSeq and is a predicted model, not a curated record. The transcript is spliced from 5 exons. Lineage: Eukaryota; Metazoa; Chordata; Mammalia; Carnivora; Mustelidae.
GGGGUUUUGUAAACUGAGGAAGUACCGAGCACUGACCUCAAACAGAGAGGCUGGGGAGAAAUGGGUAUGACUGAGCUGACAAGUCACGGGGCCGUGGCGAAGGGCUAGUUCUUUAACCCUUCCUCCUUCACCGCAUCCAGAAACCUUCUCUGCACCCUUUAAUCCUGAGCAACUGUCAAUCUCAACUGCCAAGAGUCAAGAAACCCGAGGGGAAUUGUGGGUAGGAGAGAUCUCAUAAGGCUGCAGGAAGCACUGAGCAGUGGAGAGGUCGGGUACCACCUCCCCACCCCCAAAAUUAACUGUGAUGGCUCCGCCCAGGGGGGAGCCUCACUUUCCCUUAAUAUCCUGGUGCAGGAGGGAGGUGGGGCUGUGUCGGAGUGUCCGAUGGCUGCUCCCUCCUUCUAGCAGCGGCAGGUGUCCCCCCUGACAGAGGGGACCUGCAAAGCCAGCAAAUGAAGCCCAAAGCCCAAAGCACGGUGGGUCACUGCCUGCUCGCUCUCUGAGCUGCAAGCCUCACCCUAGCACUGCAGCCUGAGCCCAGGGGGAGCAGCCUGUAGGACUCCAAGCAGCCACGGCAGGAGCGAGCACAUGCCUGGGAGGACCAGCAGGCAAGAACCAACCAGAACGGAUCCGGCACCUCCAGCUCGCACCAGGGCACGCAUGGACGCCACGGUACAGUGCUCAUCCCCCAAAUCUCCUGCCUUCGAAGCCACUGGAAAUGCCGGGCUCUUCCGCAAACAGGGCGGAUUCUACGGAGCAGCCAGAGCUUUGCCAGCUUCCAGUCCCACUUCGUCCCUGAGAAUCCGCUCGCUGGGGUCUGGUCUCUAUCUCAAUCCCCAGUUACUGUUGCUCCUUCAGUAAACCUUUGUUGCGGGCCGACCUCUGGAGCCGGGGCUAGCUACAAAGUUCAGAGAGAUCUGGUUCCUGCCUUCCAGAAACAGAGGAGGGAACUGAGUGUUAUAUUAGACUCACCGCAGUAUCUCUGCUCACUUGAUCCCCGUUUCCUCACUGAGAACAUGUGGACAGCAGCUGUCCCCACUUCACAAGAUCGGCGUGAAGACAAAAUGAAAAAUGCACACCAGGGUGAACCGCAGGGCCCAGCGCGCCGGAAGUCUGGACGACGUUUCCUAUGAUCUUGUUUCUCUUUUGGAUAGGAACCUGCUUCCCAUCUCAAGGGGUCCUCUGAGCCCAGAAGAGCUACCAUCUAAGAACUUGACCAAAAGCACCAGUGGAGUAAAGCUGGUAUUGCUUCUGGAACAUGGAGAAGUCCAAUGUCCACCAUGGCUGGGCUGUCAGGCAAAAAGGACCUUCUUUCCUAACCUAAAACCGCUCUCGCCAAGAGAAUUGGGUGAAUGAGAAGGCAGCCACGCCUCUGGCCUCUAAGUAGCCCAGAGGAGGAGGAAGGUGUGCCUGCUUUUCCCUUCCUCAUGCGCUUCUUAACUCCUUCCUCCCAGAAGAGGCCCAAGAAACAGCCGACAUACCAGUACCACAUGGUGCCAAGGGCUGGGGGAAGCUCACACUGCCAGCCUCGCGCUCCACUCGGCGCCGCCCGUACCAGUGGGUUACUGUAACCAUGGAGACCAACAAGUUCCUCCAUAUCACAGGAGAAGAGUCCGCCUGCCAGCAGCCCAGGGCUCUGGGGGAGGCAGAAGGCAGCCUGCAGCAGAAAGCUUACGUUUUUAUUCAGCAUUGUCUGGCUGUACACGGUGGAGCAAAGGGCUGGAGUCCCAGGUCUGCAGUGGGACCCCAGUUCCACCACUCUGGCUGCCGGGGAGGAAACGGCUUGGAAGUGUGGUACGAAGAGUCACACAGACCCACAUGCACUAAAAGCAAGGCUCCUGCUCUCAUGUAACAUCUUCUUUUAAGGGAUCCAGGUAGUUGUUGGUUCCCAGUCCGGCCUUCCCACAACACAGCGCUUUCGGGAGGGACCCAGGUCUGAUUCACCGCCACAACAAUGCCUCUACCACAGAGCAGGGGUUGGAAAUCGGUACUGAAUGCAUAAAUGGACACAGCUAAGUGGGCAGGAAGCCAUAAGAUCCCCUCGCCCAAGGAGGGAGGGCAUCUAGAAAGCAUUAGUUCCACGAACUAAUUUCCUCAGGUGGUGACAAGGCCCUUGGUGCUCUCUCCUGACACAAUGCUGGUGGCAAAUGUCAUCAAGAGGUGGACUGGAGACAGACUGAGAACACAGGCACAGCCAGGGAUGGGGGGGCCACGCCCCACAUUCCCGUCCCUGACCCCCCUCAAACAAGCCCAAGGCCCCUCCUUUCAUCAUGGCGGUGGGGGGCUCUGCACUUCCUGAUGCCCAACAACCACUGGGCCUGACUUGAGGCGGCUCUCUGUCUCUCCACAGUCAUCUCACACCUGCUUUGCUAUCCAAAACCACUGUGUCUUGGUGGGACGGGCCAUUCUAAGAGCUACUGAUUUGGGGAAGUGACAGUGAAUUACUUGUAGGAGACAUUUAUUCUCUGGCACACUGAGAGCUCGGCUUUCGUAUUUCCUCCCUGAACUGAUGUAAUGACUGUAAGGCCCUGUCACCCCUGGAACACCAAUAAAAUUCACCCAUACACACCUUCCUCCUGUCCUGCUGCAAAAAUUGGCACUCCCACCCUGCCCCCCAGCCUGCCUCCUGUUACAGAAAAGCAAAGGAACUAAAAACGGCAGCUGGGGAGCUCAGUUGACUCACCCAGCAUAAUCAUC